RNAcentral lists this ribosomal RNA (542 nucleotides) under Rhodotorula sp. Its description in RNAcentral is "partial large subunit ribosomal RNA". It matches the Rfam family "Eukaryotic large subunit ribosomal RNA", at positions 50 to 595 of the family's 3401-position model. Lineage: Eukaryota; Fungi; Basidiomycota; Microbotryomycetes; Sporidiobolales; Sporidiobolaceae. The record is from RNAcentral.
GCGGAGGAAAAGAAACUAACAAGGAUUCCCCUAGUAGCGGCGAGCGAAGCGGGAAGAGCUCAAAUUUAUAAUCUGGCACCUUCGGUGUCCGAGUUGUAAUCUCUAGAAGUGUUUUCCGCGUUGGACCGCACACAAGUCUGUUGGAAUACAGCGGCAUAGUGGUGAAACCCCCGUAUAUGGUGCGGACGCCCAGCGCUUUGUGAUACACUUUCAAUGAGUCGAGUUGUUUGGGAAUGCAGCUCAAAUUGGGUGGUAAAUUCCAUCUAAAGCUAAAUAUUGGCGAGAGACCGAUAGCGAACAAGUACCGUGAGGGAAAGAUGAAAAGCACUUUGGAAAGAGAGUUAACAGUACGUGAAAUUGUUGGAAGGGAAACGCUUGAAGUCAGACUUGCUUGCCGGAGCUUGCUUCGGUUUGCAGGCCAGCAUCAGUUUUCCGGGGUGGAUAAUGACGGUUUGAAGGUAGCAGUCUCGGCUGUGUUAUAGCUUUCCGUUGGAUACAUCCUGGGGGACUGAGGAACGCAGCGUGCUUUUUGCGAAAGACUC